GGAAGUUGCUGGAUCUGGAAAAGCUUUCCCUUCAGGACUGAAGGAAGGAAAAGGCAUCUGUGUUUUGUGAGCCGUUGGAAUGAGAAGCCAUUUGAAUCCUACCUUCAGCACUGCCUUUGCCCCAGGACUUAGGAGCAAAUCUGUCUAUAUUGAGAAGUAAUUAAGAAGGGAGAUCUGAGAGCCUGGAAGACAAGCAGGAAUACUCUUCUUAUUCCGACUUCGUGUCCUAAAUUUAAUAAUCUGGAUGCUGCUUUGUUCUCACAAUCAUGCCAAAAACUCUACCU
Molecule: long non-coding RNA, 284 nt
Filed under: Ictidomys tridecemlineatus (thirteen-lined ground squirrel)
Lineage: Eukaryota; Metazoa; Chordata; Mammalia; Rodentia; Sciuridae
Description: lncRNA (ENSSTOG00000032545.1)
Source: RNAcentral